This 253-nucleotide ribosomal RNA is filed under the name uncultured bacterium. Its description in RNAcentral is "partial 16S ribosomal RNA". It matches the Rfam family "Bacterial small subunit ribosomal RNA", at positions 524 to 776 of the family's 1533-position model. The record is from RNAcentral.
UACGAAGGGGGCUAGCGUUGUUCGGAAUCACUGGGCGUAAAGAGCUCGUAGGCGGUCUGUCGCGUCGGAUGUGAAAACCCAGGGCUCAACCCUGGGCCUGCAUUCGAUACGGGCAGACUAGAGUUCGGUAGGGGAGACUGGAAUUCCUGGUGUAGCGGUGAAAUGCGCAGAUAUCAGGAGGAACACCGGUGGCGAAGGCGGGUCUCUGGGCCGAAACUGACGCUGAGGAGCGAAAGCGUGGGGAGCAAACAGG